GAUGAAGAACGCAGCGAAAUGCGAUACGUAAUGUGAAUUGCAGAAUUCAGUGAAUCAUCGAGUCUUUGAACGCACAUUGCGCCCCCUGGUAUUCCGGGGGGCAUGCCUGUCCGAGCGUCAUUGCUGCCCUCAAGCACGGCUUGUGUGUUGGGCCUCCGUCCUCCUCCCGGGGGACGGGCCCGAAAGGCAGCGGCGGCACCGCGUCCGGUCCUCGAGCGUAUGGGGCUUCGUCACCCGCUCUUGUAGGCCCGGCCGGCGCUUGCCGACACAUCAAUCUUUUUUCCAGGUUGACCUCGGAUCAGGUAGGGAUACCCGCUGAACUUAAGCAUAUCAAUAAGCAGAGGA
RNAcentral lists this unclassified non-coding RNA (345 nucleotides) under soil metagenome. RNAcentral describes it as "partial contains 5.8S ribosomal RNA, internal transcribed spacer 2, and large subunit ribosomal RNA". The stretch from base 1 to 120 matches the Rfam family "5.8S ribosomal RNA", at positions 35 to 154 of the family's 154-position model. The record is from RNAcentral.